GGGCGAUUAGUUUAGUGGUAGAACAGCGGUCUCCAAAACCGCUGGCGGGAGUUCGAUUCUCUCAUCGCCCG
Molecule: transfer RNA, 71 nt
Filed under: bacterium
Lineage: Bacteria
Description: tRNA-Trp
Rfam family: tRNA
About the family: Transfer RNA (tRNA) molecules are approximately 80 nucleotides in length. Their secondary structure includes four short double-helical elements and three loops (D, anti-codon, and T loops).
Source: RNAcentral